UACGUAGGUGGCAAGCGUUGUCCGGAUUUACUGGGCGUAAAGGGAGCGUAGGCGGAUUUUUAAGUGGGAUGUGAAAUACCCGGGCUCAACCUGGGUGCUGCAUUCCAAACUGGGAAUCUAGAGUGCAGGAGGGGAGAGUGGAAUUCCUAGUGUAGCGGUGAAAUGCGUAGAGAUUAGGAAGAACACCAGUGGCGAAGGCGACUCUCUGGACUGUAACUGACGCUGAGGCUCGAAAGCGUGGGGAGCAAACAGG
Molecule: ribosomal RNA, 253 nt
Filed under: uncultured bacterium
Lineage: Bacteria
Description: partial 16S ribosomal RNA
Rfam family: Bacterial small subunit ribosomal RNA
Source: RNAcentral